This 77-nucleotide transfer RNA is filed under the name bacterium (Candidatus Gribaldobacteria) CG08_land_8_20_14_0_20_39_15. RNAcentral describes it as "tRNA-Val". It matches the Rfam family "tRNA". From Rfam's summary of the family: Transfer RNA (tRNA) molecules are approximately 80 nucleotides in length. Their secondary structure includes four short double-helical elements and three loops (D, anti-codon, and T loops). Lineage: Bacteria; Candidatus Gribaldobacteria. The record is from RNAcentral.
GGGCGCGUAGCUCAGUUGGUUAGAGCGUCUCGUUUACACCGAGAAGGUCUCCUGUUCGAGUCAGGACGCGCCCACCA